CUUCAUGAAGCCGGAAUUGCUAGUAAUGGCAGGUCAGCAUACUGCCGUGAAUACGUUCCCGGGCCUUGUACACACCGCCCGUCACACCAUGAGAGUUGGGAAUACCCGAAGCCUGUGAGCCAACUUUUAAAGAGGCAGCAGUCGAAGGUAGAAUCAAUGAUUGGGGUGAAGUCGUAACAAGGUACC
This 186-nucleotide ribosomal RNA is filed under the name uncultured bacterium. RNAcentral's name for it is "partial 16S ribosomal RNA". It matches the Rfam family "Bacterial small subunit ribosomal RNA", at positions 1316 to 1500 of the family's 1533-position model. The record is from RNAcentral.